UUUCAGGAUUAUUAGUGUUUUUAGGGUGACAGAUUCAGUGUUAUGUUACCUAGCAAAAACUUUUAACCGACUCUGUUAAUUUGUUUGCUAUGAAAGGCGUUUUAUUUUUCAAUAAAUCCGAGGUCGGUUUCUGCCUGAAAGAAAUGGUUCGUGAUUUUGGUUUAAAUUAUACAUUCAGUGUGCUGUAAGACGACUCGAGCUCAGUGGAGUGACUGGAUGAGUCAUGCUCAACAAUACAUGUGAAUACCUGCAAACUCUUUUUAUACAUCCAUUUUUUUUUUUUGGUUUAUCCUGAUAAAGGAAAACUUCCUCGUUCAUGUAACGUCAGUGAUGACGAUCUUUGCAGAGUUACGAUUGGAUCCUUGGAGAGGUUUGUAGCCAAUGAACUGCUUUAUAUUUCCCAAGACUUGUUGCUGGAUGGGGGUUUGCCAUUUUUCUGUGAUGGGCAGGCAUUAUGCGAGUUACAAAACCUACUGAAUGACUCAUGGAUGAUCUCAUCCCCCUGGAUGACGUCAGCAGUGUAUAUAUUUCAUAGUAUGUGGCAGCACGUGGUUUUGGAAUGCAUCCCAUCUAUCAUGCUUGUUUAGACCGUUGCAUGCAAUUGUUAUGGCCGUAAUUAAGCCGGAGAGAAUGAACGGCACCACAUUAAUGUGCAAAGUGUUCAGACACAGUGGCACACCUGGCGUUUGCGUGUUUGUGUGUUUGCACGUCUAGUCGUGCGUGAGUGCUGCGUCGGUGGAGCUAUGAAUGGGCAGAGUGGGGUGUUCUCUCUCUCUCUCUCUCUCACACACACCGUCACAGCUCUGGGAUGAGGAGUGCCAUCUACUCCACUGCAUGUCUGCUGUGCUGCUGAGAGGAAAGAAGACAAAGGGGGAGAGAAGGAGCAUUACAAGAAGACUUUUCAAAAGCACAAGGCCACUCUUUAGCACUGAGCUGGAACAAUCUCCACUCAGCCAUGGAGCAGAAGACAAAUGAGUGUCCCACCUCUACCUCUCCGCAGAAGCACAUGAAGAACAGGUCUAAAUCCACAGAGGAGAUGCAGCAGUCCAGGAAGGCAUUUUCCUCACAAAAGUCACUGCCAGGCAGGCCUGAUCUGGAGAAAGUGAAGGAGCGUCCCGAUGGCUCUGACACGCCUUCGUCCUCCACAGAAGAGCUGAAGUGACAAACAGCGUCAACAUCGAGCCACAAAGUUGCGCAUAUAAAAUGUGUCAACAAAGAAAGUGCUGAACAUUUAUGAUCAUAGGUGGCUAGAAUCUACUCAAGCUGUGAAUUUCAUGCUGACUCCACCUUAUCGAAAGUCCACAUCUGAUGAAGCUGUGUCAUUGUGCUGUGACUGAUAUAUACAUGUGUGUAGUAAAAGUAAAGCGAUGUUGUUGGAUA
Long non-coding RNA from Poecilia latipinna (sailfin molly), 1380 nucleotides. RefSeq lists it as uncharacterized. The record is from RefSeq and is a predicted model, not a curated record. NCBI's taxonomy places the organism in Eukaryota, Metazoa, Chordata, Actinopteri, Cyprinodontiformes, Poeciliidae. The transcript is spliced from 5 exons.